CCUACGGGAGGCAGCAGUCGGGAAUAUUGCGCAAUGGAGGAAACUCUGACGCAGUGACGCCGCGUGCAGGAAGAAGGUUUUCGGAUUGUAAACUGCUUUAGACAGGGAAGAAACAAGACAGUACCUGUAAAAUAAGCUCCGGCUAACUACGUGCCAGCAGCCGCGGUAAUACGUAGGGAGCAAGCGUUAUCCGGAUUUAUUGGGUGUAAAGGGUGCGUAGACGGGAAGUCAAGUUGGUUGUGAAAUCCCUCGGCCCAACUGCGGGACUGCUUUGGAAACUGCCCGGCUAGAGUGCUGGAGAGGUAAGCGGAAUUCCUAGUGUAGCGGUGAAAUGCGUAGAUAUUAGGAGGAACACCAGUGGCGAAGGCGGCUUACUGGACAGUAACUGACGUUGAGGCUCGAAAGCGUGGGGAGCAAACAGGAUUAGAUACCCGGGUAGUC
Molecule: ribosomal RNA, 441 nt
Filed under: uncultured bacterium
Lineage: Bacteria
Description: partial 16S ribosomal RNA
Rfam family: Bacterial small subunit ribosomal RNA
Source: RNAcentral